Molecule: non-coding RNA, 755 nt
Organism: Camellia sinensis
Lineage: Eukaryota; Viridiplantae; Streptophyta; Magnoliopsida; Ericales; Theaceae
Source: RefSeq, a predicted model, not a curated record
AUCACUAAUUCUAAAAGCCAUAGUGCUUCAUGCUACCUAGAGUAUGCAAAAGUCAAUUGAGUUGAGUUUCCAUUUCCAAUUAUAACAUUUUGGUCAGUCAUAUUGAUUUGUUACACAUGCAGAGGUAGUUUGAGCAAGAGGCAAUUAAUCUAACGAUGAAGUUGCAACAACAAUCCACUUGGAUGCGCAAGGGAAAGCGACCAAGAAUGUCACAAGAUUGCCCAUAUUCCAUCCAUCAAUGUCUUGUAGAUUUAAAGGUCAGGAGGCAUUUCAUGAAUGAUGAAUCUUCCUCUACAAAUGAUGAAUCUUCUUCUUCAAGAUGAAGCAUGAAAUAGUCUACUGCCAAUUAUGUUUAUUAAUCUCUCUGUGCUCCCACAAAUUGCUAUGUUACAAGGUCUCUUCUACAAGGAGGAGUUCCAGUUUUUCUUCAAGUGUAAAUGUUGGAUUUAUUGCCUGCCAGCUGUACAAUCAAUAAGUGCAGUCCAUUAAUAAUCAAUGUAGGGAGAAGAGGUAAUCGUUGAUGCACAUGAUUUUGAAGAAUCAGAGCAAUGUUAUGCAAACUUUGUAGGUUGUUCCUUGAAUGUUGUUAGUCAUUUGAGUUAUUUUUUUUAUAAUUUUCAAGCUUAAUAGUUCCACUUGUCAGUUGCAGAUUCUCGUCAGGUGAAAAACUAAAUAGUUUCAAUGAUCAACCAGUCUUCAAAAUGCUUUCCUGCUUAGCUUUGAGUCAAACUUUGAUUUUCCAUAGCUAACAAAAA